UGCGCCUGGACCCUAAUGGAGCUGUGUGCUGGGUCGGCCUCAAGGGCGUCACUCCGAGGUCCCUGUCCUGCAGGGGCAGCAGGUCCCAUGGCGCCCUUGCCCUCUGAGGGAGAACAUCUCCCUCCCGUGUGGCUCCGCCAGCGGCAGGACACACAGCCUGAGGGGGAUGUGAUAAGGGGGGGUCACGCUGUCCUGGAGAACAGGCCCCUCUGCACGCCCGAGAGGUUCUGUCUACCGAGCCCUCCCCAGGGCCCCUCCCACCCCCUGCCCUCCCUGCUGAAAGCGGGGGCGGCUUGGCGUGGAAUGGGAACACAGGGUCCAAACUUGGCGGCCGUCAUCCCAGCCGGGAGAGGAGAGUGCUCAGCAACUGGGGACCCCAGCUGGGGCACCCCGAGGCACCAGGUCCCUCCACCACCUCCAGGGGCCGCGGGCAUGGGCUGCUUGUUGGUGUGGGCUCUGCAUUCAGGGACCCCACCCAUCUGUCCAUUUCUGCAGAUCCUCCUUAGCUGCAGCCCCAAGGAUGGACCCAGGAGACGCUGCUGGUGACCCCGCCGCUGGUGCGCGCCGCUGCACAGGCCAGGACCCCCUCCUGCUCCUGCAGACCCUGCAGACCCUGUGGUCCACGCGGGAGCGGCAGCAGCUCCGGGAGGAAGCCUGGCGGGGGUUUGCUGCCCUGGACGACCCCCUGGCCGGGCUUCUGGACAUGCUGGAGAGCAGCCAGGGCCGGCGGGGAGAGGGUCCCUCCCUGGAGGCCUGGGUGUCCCACCAGCUGCAGUGCUGGCUACAGGCACAGCCACGACCGGACCCAGCCCAGCACAGCCCGAGGCUGGAGCAGCUGCAGGCCCGAGCGGUCAAGGUCCUCACUGAGAGUCCCCCCAGCCUUGCAGCACCACUGGCCAGCAUCUUCCAGCUACAGGAUGCAGACCGGAGCUGCCUGCUGGAGCACGUCCACCGCCUCUACCACGAGGGCAGGUUCAGAGAAGCAGUCAUGCUGGGCACGACGUUGAAGCUGCAGCCAGAACUUGAUGUUGAAAAGAUGAGCGUCCCACUGCUCCUCCAGGACAAGGUGGCCCUCGUGGAGCGCUAUGUGGCCGGCUUCCCAGACCUCCAGAGGAGGCUGCUGGCCCUCAUGGACUCCUGGUGCCAGCCUGGCUUUGACAUCAAGGAUGUUGCCAGACAGUACCCUCAGGUGGCCUCCCUGAGCCUGGAGAAGCUGAGUCCGAAGGUGCUGAGCAGGCAGGUCUUACGUCUGCAGGAGCAGUUCGGCAUGGUCCCGGCACUGUGUCCCCACGCGGCCACGCAGCAGCGCCUGGCAGCCCUGCGGCACCUGUGCCACAAGCGGUUUGUGGAGAAGAGCCUGUCUCAGGAGAACUGGGCUGACCACGUGCAAGGCCUCGUGGGACACAGCCCGUGGCUUCAGGAGCAGCUGUCUCAGCUGCUGACCUCCCUCGGUGACCCAGGCACAGCCGCCAGGUGCGCCCUGAACCUCCUGCUGCCCGAGGACCAGCUGCCAGCCACAGUGGCUGCAGAGCUCAGCCGGCUCCAGCUCCAGGGGAGGGCGGCUGACGCUGACUCGAGGCCCAACGUGAAGGACAUGAAGGACCAGCACUACCAGCUGCCCAUCCCCAGGGAGAACGUCUACCUCCUGGCCUCUCGAGAAGACCUCGCCAGACACGAGGGUGCCCUCCUGCAGCCCCAGCAGGUGGUUGGUGUGGACCUGGAGUGGACACCAGUGUUCGUUGCUGGGGGCCGGCCCCGGCCAUCACUCCUGCAAGUGGCCAUGGAGGGCCGCGUGUUCCUUUUUGACAUUCUGGCACUCACGCAGCCGCCAGCAGGACAGGGAGCCCAGGCCUUCUCCCAGCUGGUGGCCCAGCUCCUCUCGGACCCGUCCAUCACCAAGCUGGGCUAUGGGAUGGCGGGGGACCUGCAGAAACUGGGCACGUCCUGCCCUGCCCUGGCCCACGUGGAGAAGCAGGUUCUGGGUGGCAUGGACCUGCUGCUGGUGCACAGACAGAUGCGUGUGGCAGGCAUGCCAACCCCAGGCGUGGACAGGGCUAGUGGGCUGAGAGGCCUGAGCCUCCUAGUGCAGCAGGUGCUGGGCACGACCCUGGACAAGACACAGCAGCUGUCCAACUGGGACCGGAGGCCGCUCUGCGAGGAGCAGCUCAUCUACGCAGCUGCUGAUGCCUACUGCCUGCUGGAGGUGCACCAAGCCCUGUGCAGAGAGCCCGCCCGCUUCCACCUGUCGGGGGACCUGGCUGGGAGCCAGAGGCCCAGGCACAGAGAGAGACCAGGGACACAGGAGCCGCCCGGCCUGCGGGAGGCGUCGGCGUCACCCAGGCAGGUCCCUGUGGCCGUGGCUGAGGCCACCAUCCCUCGGGUCCCUGCCAGGACCUUCCGUGUGGUGUGUGACAACAUGCUACAGGGGCUGGCACGGAGCCUCCGCUGUCUGGGUGUGGACGCGCACGUGCUGGGCAGCAGUGAGGACCACCGCAGGGCAGCCGAGGUCGCCAGGCUGGAGGGGAGGAUCAUCCUGACGUCAGGGCAGCCCUACCACACGCUCCGGGCCCAGGUCGGGGCUGGGCGCUGCCUCCUGGUCGACGGCUCCCUGAAGGCCCAGCAGCAGGCCAAGUCUGUCCUCAGGCAUUUCAAUGUGCGUGUCACCCAUGAAGACAUCUUUAGCCGCUGCCAGGCCUGUAACAGUGACCAGUACCUGAAGGUGUCCAGAGACAUGAUGAAGCAGCUCAUGUGGCUCAGCAGCCACCAGGAGGGCCCCUGGACCUCGGAGACGGUCCUAGCCUCAGUUUCCCUGCCUGUGGAACUACAAAGAGGGCUUCUUUCUGCCCCUGUGGAGGGUGGAGGCCACCCAAAGACUUUGCAGCUUUAGAUCUUCGUGGAAAGUAUGUGCCCCCUACCCCUGGCAGAACGGCCACCCCCACCCUAAGGAGUGGAGGAUGCUGCUUCUGCUCCCCUCAGGCGGGGCCGGCAUGGGGGCUAAAGGGAUGGAGGUGGAUAGAAAGGGGUCAGUCCAAGGUCAGGGUGGGAGGACGGGGAGCGAGCACCACCCAGGGUGGCCAGCGGAGCAAGCCCCGGAGGGCAAGGCUGGAGGCGGCCCCUAACCUCAGGUCCCCCCCACCCCACCCCUGCCCCUGCCCACAGAGGCACACUCAGGCCUCAGCCCCAGGACAUGACGGCACACACUACCCUAGGGUGGUGGGCAGCACCCAGAUGGGCUGAUGGGUGUCACAGGGGCUGCAGGGUAAGAGCUGGGGCCAGACACACAGGGGUGAGGCUGGGAGGCCAGAUGAGGGUCAUGGCCUCCUGAGCUUCCAGGAGGGGCUGGGGCUGGGGUGGGGGCCUCAUGCAUUCAUCCCCGGCUGCAGCUGACCCAUAGCCCUCUGUAGAGAAAUGCUUGCUGAGCAAAUGACCAGGGUCAACAGGAGCAGGGCGGACGCUUCUCCCACCUGCUGGCCAGUGGUGCCCUCGGCCCUGCGGUGACCCCUGGGUGGCUACCAGCCCUGCCUGCCUGGGGCUUUUAGUGGGGGCCGGGGGCCUCCCAGGGCCAGUGCGAGCCACUUCCCAGGGUCUCCCACAGAUCCUGGGCCUGGCAGUCCCUGGGCCCUGCCCACCCCCCCGCCCUUGCGCUGGCUGGUUUCGAAAUUCGCUCCCUGGCAGUGGGCUUAUCUGCUCAUCACCACAAAUGGGCUGCCCCCGCCCCCGCCCACCAGUUCUCAGGCCCCCGAGAGCCCUAAUCAGCCGAUCUCAUGCCUGGAACAUGUUUCCCAGGGACCUUUGAGCCCUAAGACCUUUCUGAGGUGUGAGUUCCCAAGGGAGGGGCCCAGGCCAGCACCAGUUUCUUGGCCCCCUGCCCUCUACCCGUCUUGGAAGGCUGGGAGGGUGCAGUGAGAGGCCGCACUCCAUGAGGUGACUGGUGCCCGCCAAGCCCCAUCCCUAGGAGGUCCUGGACCAGUUCUCAUCCUUGAUUGACAGGCAACAAGGCCACCCACAGCCAGGAGAGGCAGGAGCCAGGUCCAGCCCCAGAGGAAGCCCCUGGGGGCAGCACCCAUGACCGCCCCUGCCGCUGGCUGCAGGCGGCUGACCUAUGUGCAGAGAUGCCAGACAUGCUGGCCAACGGCACCCGGCUGCAGCUGGCCAGGGUCCCGGCGGGCGUGCUGAGGACACCGGGGCUGCGGCACUUCUACUGCUGCACGCGCUGUGGGAAGGUCUUCUGGGAUGGCUCCCACCUGGGUCGUGUUGCCACCCACUUCCGAGACGUCCUGGAGAGCGCCCCGGGCCCCUGUGAGCCGAGCCCAGCCCCCAGCCCGGCCGGCAGCUCCUUCUGAGGACAGCAAGGCAAUAAACAUGGAACAUGCCGAGUGCUGGGCCCGUGGCCGUGGACUUGCUCAUACGUUUCAUGCUCGCCUCACAAGCCUUUCGUGGGCCCCUCUGUGUGCCAGGAAGUGCCGGGAACACCAGGGCGGGUCCCAGCCCCAGCAGCUGUUGGGGGAAGAUGAGGGUUUCCAGAUGGUCAGGAUGCUGGGACCCCGAGCUGAGUGGGACCUGAAGGGUCUCUCCCUCACCCCGCGUCAGGGCUGUGUGGUCCCCCGGGAUCUCUCUGUCACCCCCAUCAGGCCGUAUGGUCUCUGUGGGGUUUCUCCAUCACCCCCGUCAGGGCUGUGUGGUCCCCGCGGGAGCGCGUCAGCCACAGCCCGGCUGGAGGCACCUGGGCAGCCGGCCACGGCCAGGGCUUCGUACACACGGACGCAGGCGACUCCGUCCUCACAGCUGCCGCCCCUGGAUGGGAGGAGGACAAAGCCCAGGCGACCACUGCUGCCCACCCUGAGGACCCGAGGGUGCUGUGCCAGGUAGCAGGGAGGGCAGGGGGCCCCGAGGUGGGAGAGGAGGAGGAGCCCGGGGAGGGGCCGUCCCAGGAAUGUGCCCCCUCCCCUCCCCUCACCCACAUCCCUUUCCUCUGCUUCCUGCCUGGAGCGGAAAUCAGGUCGGAUUUGGCUGAGGAGCCCGGGCGGAAGCCUCGGUGCAGGGGCCUGGGGGCUGGGGAGAAGCAGAGUGAGGAGCAGGCUUCGGGCGCAAAGGCCUUGGGCAUCCCUGGACUGGCCCAGCGGGGCCUUGCUGUAGGCCCCGACCACACCAGGGCUGGCCACUGUGCCUGGGCACCCCUGGGCACCCCUGGGCACUGCAGCCCAGCCCCUUAGCCCUCAGCAACCCAGCCGGGGUGUCAUUUCACAGAUGGGAGGGGCGAGGCUGGACGGGAAGGGCCUGGCCUGUGUCAGAGCCAACUGUCCAGUCUUGACCUGCCCCCUUGACCUGCCGGGCAGCUGGGGGGCCUGAGCCUAAGUCAGGCGGGGGUGUCAGGGGGAGCAGAGCGGGACCCCAGGAGAGGGUCAGGGCUCUGGACUGUGAUGCUGCUUCCAGGAGGGGACUCCGGGUCCUCACCCUGUCCACACUCCUGCCUGGCGGGGUUAGGACAGAGUGGCUGAGGGCACCCACCCUCCGCCCAGCCCCGUCUCAUGCUGGAGACACGCACGGCUCCCAGCCCAGGCCUGAGAGCUACUGUGGGCCCCGGGCCGAGCGGAGCAGAGGCUGCGGGAAGAUGGAGACCACCGUCCUCCAUCUCUCCUGGCCCUCCCGGCUGGCUCUGCCUCUGCCUGCCCCCACUUUCCACCGUGGCCCUGCUGCUGUCCGCACGUCCCUCACUGCCCAGCACAGGCUCGGCCUGGCUCUGUGGCGUCCAGCCCAGGCCCAGGCUCUGGUGCGGGGAGACCGUCUGCCCAGUCCCCACCCGGGUCCACGUGUUGGAAGCCAGCCUGGGGCUCUAGGGGUCAGCACCCAUCAGGCUGCUUCCUGGGCAAGGGACAGAGCCCAGGCUGACUGGGUGGCUGUGGCUGCUGGUGCCAGGCCAUGCCCUGAGCGGCCAUCCUGGCGGGCAGGAGACAUGGUCGCAGGGAUUGUCUGCGGCAGUUCCUUCCUCUGCUGCGGCCUGCGCUGGCCCGGGCUGAGUGUUUGUUAUUUGAUCUCGAUCCUCUCAGCCCUUCUACCAGGUGUCUGGGCUGCUGGGAAGAAACACUCUCCUCUUUCCCACGCUCCCGACACAUUUUAAUGAAUUAGCUGGAAGCCCCGCCCCCACUGCCCGCCACCCUCCCUCCCUGCUUAGUGCCUUUAAGGUGGCCGCAGGCCUCGGCCCAGCUCUGGCCAGCUGCCCCUUCUGUGCUGUCCUCCCUGGGCCCUCCCCAUGUGGCUCACUGAUCUGAGGCUGCAGGAAAGGGAAGGAAGGGGGUGCCUGCAGGGAGAAGGGGCCCCACCAUUGCCUUCUGGGGGUGGGUGGGUUACAGGCAGGGCGCCCUGGGGCCAGCAGCCUCAGGACAGGCAGGGAGGAAGGAUGGGGCCCAGCUGCACAGUCGGGGCUGAGCCUGUUGGGGUCCCAAGGCAGGGGCUCCCAGACAGCAGAACGCUCCCUGCCUGCUUACGUCUCGGCCCAAGCAACACCAGCAAACGCCAGGGGGUCCUCCGCACGAGCACAGGGUGGCUGGAGGUGGCCCCCAGGCCCCAGCAUUUCGAACAGAUGUCCACCUUUUGGAUGUCCCUCGGCAAACAUUCGGGAAGUGCUGUCGUUGCCCCGGGCCCCUCCCCCCUUCCCGUCCUCAGAUGGAGCCGCUUCAGGGCCGUGGGUGUGGCCAGGGGAGCUUGGCGCCACUGUGCACAGUGUAGGAGCCAGAGCCAGCACCCCUAAGCUUUCUCCCCGUGGGCAGUGAGGGGUGGCCGGACUCUGAACCCCAUAGAUGAGCCUGGGCACAGGCUUGGGCCACAGCCACAUGGCAGGCCAGGCCCGGCCACCUCUGCCUGACCCUGCUCCGGACCCCGGCGAACCCAGGGCAAGGGGUAGGCUCCCACCGCCUCACAGGGCCGCCCUACCAGCCACACUGUCCCUGCCAGGGCGCCCGAGCCGCCCGGCCCUCACCAGGGGCCGCCACCGAUUUCACGCCCGUGGCGGGGCCCGCGUUCCCACACCAAGCUCACACAGGGCCCCUUUGUUUGGCGCCGCCACGGAUGUCGGCGGGACUUUCUCCCAGGCCCUGCUCCUGGCCCACAGCAGAGCCAAAUGCCGGCUUAAGCCCACCUGGGCCUCGGCCUGUUUGCAAACCACCCACCUUCCAGGGGAGGGCCUGUGCCCCUGAGAGCCCAGGGCUCCGCCCAGCCCCCAGCCAUGCCCUCCGCCUCUUGCCAGUCUAGCCUAGCUGGGCCCUGGGCAGAUGCACAAAACCCACCAAUGCCCAGG
This is an RNA transcript of Sapajus apella (tufted capuchin), 7294 nucleotides long. It is a transcript of the gene named exonuclease 3'-5' domain containing 3, with no coding region annotated. The record is from RefSeq and is a predicted model, not a curated record. Lineage: Eukaryota; Metazoa; Chordata; Mammalia; Primates; Cebidae. The transcript has 21 exons.